This 426-nucleotide ribosomal RNA is filed under the name uncultured bacterium. RNAcentral describes it as "bacterial SSU rRNA". It matches the Rfam family "Bacterial small subunit ribosomal RNA", at positions 354 to 796 of the family's 1533-position model. The record is from RNAcentral.
GUGAGGAAUAUUGCACAAUGGGCGAAAGCCUGAUGCAGCAACGCCGCGUGAGGGACGAAGGCCUUCGGGUUGUAAACCUCUUUUCUGAGGGACGAGCAAGGACGGUACCUCAGGAAUAAGUCUCGGCUAACUACGUGCCAGCAGCCGCGGUAAAACGUAGGAGGCGAGCGUUAUCCGGAUUUACUGGGCGUAAAGCGCACGCAGGUGGCUGCGUAAGUCGGACAUGAAAGCUCCUGGCUUAACUGGGAGAGGUGGUUCGAAACUGCGUAGCUUGAGGUUGGGAGAGGGACGUGGAAUUCCCGGUGUAGUGGUGGAAUGCGUAGAUAUCGGGAGGAACACCAGUGGCGCAAGCGGCGUCCUGGCCCACACCUGACGCUGAGGUGCGAAAGCGUGGGGAGCAAACAGGAUUAGAAACCCCGGUAGUCC